Molecule: long non-coding RNA, 717 nt
Organism: Apis mellifera (honey bee)
Lineage: Eukaryota; Metazoa; Arthropoda; Insecta; Hymenoptera; Apidae
Exons: 2
Source: RefSeq, a predicted model, not a curated record
UUUGAAAAAAUAUCAAAAAUUUCCAAGCAAUUUGAAAUUUCGAGAACGAAUGUUUGAAACUUCAAAGUUCGGAAAACAAACGGAAAUUGAAAUUCACGAGUUCAUCAUUCUUUAUCUCUUUUCCUUAUCCCCUCAUAAAACCUAACCCCUUCGCCUCCAAAACUCUUAAGAAUUAUUGUUUCACGUAAUUCCACUUGGGAUUCGACAACGGUCGAAUUCGAUACCGUUUCCAUGAAACGAUUAUCUACGAUUCUUUAACGGACUUAUUUAUCGCGAGGAAAACUACAUCUCUCUUGAGAAGAAAGUUCGUUUCGAGGUAUUACGAAUGGGUUGAAUUCACGUUAAAAGGCUAUGGGCUUUUAUGAACCGAUGACAGAGCCUCCAAUGGAAAUCGACUUUAUCACGGGGUCUGUAAAUUCGUUGACUCACAAUUCCCUUAGAUCGAGAUAUGUGGGUACCUGAUCAAACGUCGCACACACUCACCUUCUCAAGCGUAGGUAGAGAGCGCACGUAUCGUUCUUUAACGAGCAUGCGGGCUCAACGUUGGAAAUUCCGCUCGAUUUAACCGUAAUUGUUUAAUUGAAGAUCCUCCUCGCCCGGAGAUGCUACAACAGCUAAUUGCUGACGUGAAUGCAUGCUCUUCCACCCUUUUCAACUGCAAAAAUUCACGAGAGUUUCGAGACGAAAUAAAUGGAUACAUUGCAACAAAGUUUUAAA